Molecule: ribosomal RNA, 513 nt
Filed under: uncultured Campylobacterota bacterium
Lineage: Bacteria; Pseudomonadati; Campylobacterota
Description: bacterial SSU rRNA
Rfam family: Bacterial small subunit ribosomal RNA
Source: RNAcentral
CUCACAAGAGGUAUCGGGAAAGUUUUUCGCUAUAGGAUGAGGCUGCGGCCUAUCAGCUAGUUGGGGAGGUAACGGCUCACCAAGGCUAUGACGGGUAGCUGGUCUGAGAGGAUGAUCAGCCACACUGGAACUGAGACACGGUCCAGACUCCUACGGGAGGCAGCAGUGGGGAAUUUUACACAAUGGGCGAAAGCCUGAUGUAGCAACGCCGCGUGGAGGAUGACGGAUUUAGGUCUGUAAACUCCUUUUAUAGGGGAAGAAAUUUGACGGUACCCUAUGAAUAAGCGCCGGCUAACUCCGUGCCAGCAGCCGCGGUAAUACGGGGGACGCAAGCGUUACUCGGAAUCACUGGGCGUAAAGGGAGCGUAGGCGUUCUAUUAAGUCUCGAGUGAAAUCCCGCAGCCUAACUGCGGAACUGCUCGGGAAACUGAUAGAAUAGAGUAUGGAAGAGGUAGGUGGAAUUUCCAGUGUAGGGGUAAAAUCCGUAGAUAUUGGAAGGAAUACCAGAAGCGA